This 253-nucleotide ribosomal RNA is filed under the name uncultured bacterium. RNAcentral describes it as "partial 16S ribosomal RNA". It matches the Rfam family "Bacterial small subunit ribosomal RNA", at positions 524 to 776 of the family's 1533-position model. The record is from RNAcentral.
UACGUAGGGUGCAAGCGUUGUCCGGAAUUAUUGGGCGUAAAGAGCUCGUAGGCGGUUUGUCGCGUCUGCUGUGAAAACUCGGGGCUUAACCCCGGGCCUGCAGUGGGUACGGGCAGACUAGAGUGCGGUAGGGGAGACUGGAAUUCCUGGUGUAGCGGUGAAAUGCGCAGAUAUCAGGAGGAACACCGGUGGCGAAGGCGGCUACCUGGACCAGCACUGACACUGAGGCACGAAAGCGUGGGGAGCAAACAGG